This 1436-nucleotide long non-coding RNA is filed under the name Marmota monax (woodchuck). The record is from RNAcentral. Lineage: Eukaryota; Metazoa; Chordata; Mammalia; Rodentia; Sciuridae.
CAGGGGUACUAGCCUACUGAGCCACAUCCCCAGCCCUAUUUUGUAUUUUAUUUAGAGACAGGGUGUCACUGAGUUGCUUAGUGCCUCACUUUUGCUGAGGCUGGCUUUGAACCAUAAUCCUUCUGCCUCUGCCUCCCAAACUGCUGGGAUUACAGGUGUGCACCACAUGCCCAGCUUAACUGUAGUCUUGAUAGGAGCUGCAAAGGUAGCAGCCUGUACUGCCUUCCACUAAACUUCCCCUCAUUAAGUUUUUCCCAGGAAAAGAGUCCUCUAGUGUCUUGAAGGAGCUGAACUUAUAUGAAGCAAAUGGUUUGGAGUGGCACAGGGAUGAACUUGUAUGGAUGCUGGACUGUGUUGCUCAGAUUCCCUCUUCAGGACUGGAGGACUUAUUCCUCCAGCUUCUGGGAAGGUUGGCUGAUGAAGAGAGCCACCUCAUCCAAUGUCAUGGUCCCUUCUCUGGAUAGCUCGAAGUCGCAGUCGAAGAUUCAUCAAUGUGGGGGUAAUAAAGGCUCAGAAUUCAUGCUCCAAUUACAACAACUCUGAAGGGAUAGCUCAGCUUCCAAACUCUUUAUGGCAUCAGCUGAAGACUUGUUGUGAUUAUACUAUAGCUCAAUUUAUUCCUGCCUAAUCCUUCUUCCUUCUAAUACUGCUUGGGUGUUGACCCUAAGAUCACACCCUAAUAAACAACCCCAUGUUAUUCUUCAUCUAAGUUUGCCUCUCAUAAAACCCAACUCAUAGAAAUUAUCUUUAUAACACCUUAUUUAUGGUGACAGGUGUUAAAUUCUGUUUUUUAAAUUUUUUAUUUUUUUAAUAUUUUGUUUUUGGUUGUAGAUGGACACAAUACUUUAUUUAUUUAUUUUUAUGUGGUGCUGAGGAUUGAACCCAGUGCCUCACAUGUACUAGACAAACGUUCUACCACUGAGCUACAACCCCAGCCCCUAAAUUCUUUUUUUUUAAUAAUUAUUUUUUAGUUGGCACAAUACCUUUAUUUAUUUAUAUGUGGUGCUGGGGAUCGAACCCAGGACCUUGCACAUGCUAGGUGAGCACUCUACUGCUGAGCCCCAUCCCCAGUUGACAGUUGUUAAAUUCUAUCCUGAUCUUUCCAUUAGUAAAUCUGUUGUUGUUAUUAUUUUGGGGUGUGGGGGAUUGAACUUAGGGGCACUUGACCAUUGAGCCACAUCCCCAGCCCUAUUUUAUAUUUACUUAGAGACAGGGUCUCUAGGAGUUGCUGAAGGUCUUGCUAAAUUGCUGAGGUUGUCUUUGAACUUGCAAUCCUCCUGUCUCAGCCUCCUGGCUGCUGGGAUUAUAGGCAUGCACCAUUGCUCCCAGCUUACCCUGAUUUUAAGAAUUCUCAUUUUAGGGGCUGAGAUGUAAUUCAAUGACAGUUGUCUCACAUUCACAAAGCCCUGGGAUCCAUUGCCAGUUCCAAAAAAGAC